This 253-nucleotide ribosomal RNA is filed under the name uncultured bacterium. RNAcentral describes it as "partial 16S ribosomal RNA". It matches the Rfam family "Bacterial small subunit ribosomal RNA", at positions 524 to 776 of the family's 1533-position model. The record is from RNAcentral.
UACGUAGGGGGCAAGCGUUAUCCGGAUUUAUUGGGCGUAAAGGGAACGCAGGCGGUCUUUUAAGUCUGAUGUGAAAGCCUUCGGCUUAACCGGAGUAGUGCAUUGGAAACUGGGAGACUUGAGUGCAGAAGAGGAGAGUGGAACUCCAUGUGUAGCGGUGAAAUGCGUAGAUACAUGGAAGAACACCAGUGGCGAAAGCGGCUCUCUGGUCUGUAGCUGACGCUGAGGUUCGAAAGCGUGGGUAGCAAACAGG